CCUACGGGAGGCUGCAGUGGGGAAUAUUGGACAAUGGGCGAAAGCCUGAUCCAGCCAUGCCGCGUGUGUGAAGAAGGCCUUCGGGUUGUAAAGCACUUUCAGUGGGGAAGAAAGCCUUGGGGCUAAUACCCUCGAGGAAGGACAUCACCCACAGAAGAAGCACCGGCUAACUCCGUGCCAGCAGCCGCGGUAAUACGGAGGGUGCGAGCGUUAAUCGGAAUUACUGGGCGUAAAGCGCGCGUAGGCGGUCUGAUAAGCCGGUUGUGAAAGCCCCGGGCUCAACCUGGGAACGGCAUCCGGAACUGUCAGACUAGAGUGCAGGAGAGGAAGGUAGAAUUCCCGGUGUAGCGGUGAAAUGCGUAGAGAUCGGGAGGAAUACCAGUGGCGAAGGCGGCCUUCUGGACUGACACUGACGCUGAGGUGCGAAAGCGUGGGUAGCAAACAGGAUUAGAUACCCCGGUAGUC
This 465-nucleotide ribosomal RNA is filed under the name Vreelandella stevensii. Its description in RNAcentral is "partial 16S ribosomal RNA". It matches the Rfam family "Bacterial small subunit ribosomal RNA", at positions 338 to 795 of the family's 1533-position model. The record is from RNAcentral. Lineage: Bacteria; Pseudomonadati; Pseudomonadota; Gammaproteobacteria; Oceanospirillales; Halomonadaceae.